Molecule: ribosomal RNA, 117 nt
Filed under: Puniceicoccaceae bacterium
Lineage: Bacteria; Pseudomonadati; Verrucomicrobiota; Opitutia; Puniceicoccales; Puniceicoccaceae
Source: RNAcentral
UCUGGUGACCAUAGGUGCAGGGCAACACACGUUCCCAUCCCGAACACGCUCGUUAAGCCUGCAAUCGCCGAUGGUAGUGCCCCCACGCUGGGGUGCGAGAGUAGGUUAUCGCCAGUA